CCCCGGGGAGCCCGGCG
This 17-nucleotide microRNA is filed under the name Homo sapiens (human). RNAcentral describes it as "hsa-miR-4532". The record is from RNAcentral. Lineage: Eukaryota; Metazoa; Chordata; Mammalia; Primates; Hominidae.